Molecule: ribosomal RNA, 253 nt
Filed under: uncultured bacterium
Lineage: Bacteria
Description: partial 16S ribosomal RNA
Rfam family: Bacterial small subunit ribosomal RNA
Source: RNAcentral
UACGAAGGGAGCUAGCGUUGUUCGGAAUCACUGGGCGUAAAGCGCACGUAGGCGGAUUUGCCAGUCAGGGGUGAAAUCCCGGGGCUCAACCUCGGAACUGCCUUUGAUACAGCAAGUCUUGAGUUCGAGAGAGGUGGGUGGAAUUCCUAGUGUAGAGGUGAAAUUCGUAGAUAUUAGGAAGAACACCGGUGGCGAAGGCGGCCCACUGGCCCGACACUGACGCUGAGGUGCGAAAGCGUGGGGAGCAAACAGG